CCUACGGGAGGCAGCAGUAGGGAAUCUUCCACAAUGGGCGAAAGCCUGAUGGAGCAACGCCGCGUGGGUGAAGAAGGUCUUCGGAUCGUAAAACCCUGUUGUUAGAGAAGAAAGUGCGUGAGAGUAACUGUUCACGUUUCGACGGUAUCUAACCAGACAGCCACGGCUAACUACGUGCCAGCAGCCGCGGUAAUACGUAGGUGGCAAGCGUUAUCCGGAUUUAUUGGGCGUAAAGGGAACGCAGGCGGUCUUUUAAGUCUGAUGUGAAAGCCUUCGGCUUAACCGGAGUAGUGCAUUGGAAACUGGGAGACUGGAGUGCAGAAGAGGAGAGUGGAACUUCAUGUGUAGCGGUGAAAUGCGUAGAUAUAUGGAAGAACACCAGUGGCGAAAGCGGCUCUCUGGUCUGUAACUGACGCUGAGGUUCGAAAGCGUGGGUAGCAAACAGGAUUAGAUACCCUUGUAGUC
RNAcentral lists this ribosomal RNA (465 nucleotides) under uncultured bacterium. Its description in RNAcentral is "partial 16S ribosomal RNA". It matches the Rfam family "Bacterial small subunit ribosomal RNA", at positions 338 to 795 of the family's 1533-position model. The record is from RNAcentral.